ACGCUGGCGGCAGGCUUAACACAUGCAAGUCGAACGGUAGCAGGAGAAAGCUUGCUUUCUUGCUGACGAGUGGCGGACGGGUGAGUAAUGCUUGGGAAUCUGGCUUAUGGAGGGGGAUAACUACGGGAAACUGUAGCUAAUACCGCGUAGUGUCGAGAGACGAAAGUGCGGGACCGCAAGGCCGCAUGCCAUGAGAUGAGCCCAAGUGGGAUUAGGUAGUUGGUGGGGUAAAGGCCUACCAAGCCUGCGAUCUCUAGCUGGUCUGAGAGGAUGGCCAGCCACACUGGAACUGAGACACGGUCCAGACUCCUACGGGAGGCAGCAGUGGGGAAUAUUGCGCAAUGGGGGGAGCCCUGACGCAGCCAUGCCGCGUGAAUGAAGAAGGCCUUCGGGUUGUAAAGUUCUUUCGGUAUUGAGGAAGGUUGAUGUGUUAAUAGUACAUCAAAUUGACGUUAAAUACAGAAGAAGCACCGGCUAACUCCGUGCCAGCAGCCGCGGUAAUACGGAGGGUGCGAGCGUUAAUCGGAAUAACUGGGCGUAAAGGGCACGCAGGCGGUUAUUUAAGUGAGGUGUGAAAGCCCCGGGCUUAACCUGGGAAUUGCAUUUCAGACUGGGUAACUAGAGUACUUUAGGGAGGGGUAGAAUUCCACGUGUAGCGGUGAAAUGCGUAGAGAUGUGGAGGAAUACCGAAGGCGAAGGCAGCCCCUUGGGAAUGUACUGACGCUCAUGUGCGAAAGCGUGGGGAGCAAACAGGAUUAGAUACCCUGGUAGUCCACGCUGUAAACGCUGUCGAUUUGGGGAUUGGGGCUUAAAGCUUGGUGCCCGUAGCUAACGUGAUAAAUCGACCGCCUGGGGAGUACGGCCGCAAGGUUAAAACUCAAAUGAAUUGACGGGGGCCCGCACAAGCG
RNAcentral lists this ribosomal RNA (908 nucleotides) under uncultured bacterium. RNAcentral describes it as "bacterial SSU rRNA". It matches the Rfam family "Bacterial small subunit ribosomal RNA", at positions 33 to 931 of the family's 1533-position model. The record is from RNAcentral.